This 531-nucleotide ribosomal RNA is filed under the name Bruchidius hiekei. Its description in RNAcentral is "partial 16S ribosomal RNA". It matches the Rfam family "Bacterial large subunit ribosomal RNA", at positions 1807 to 2608 of the family's 2925-position model. Lineage: Eukaryota; Metazoa; Arthropoda; Insecta; Coleoptera; Chrysomelidae. The record is from RNAcentral.
UCAAAAACAUGUCUUAUUGAAAAUAAUUUUAAGUUUGACCUGCCCACUGAUUUAUUUUAAAUGGCCGCAGUAUCUUGACUGUGCUAAGGUAGCAUAAUCAUUAGUUUCUUAAUUAGAAGCUGGAAUGAAUGGUUGGAUGAAACAAUGGUUGUCUCUAUUUAAUUGGUUUAGAAUUUUAUUUUUUAGUAAAAAAGCUAAAAUAUUUUUGAAAGACGAGAAGACCCUAUAGAGUUUUAUAAAUUAAUUGCUUUAAUUUUAGUAGAAUAUAAAUUUUUAAUUUAAUAAUUUAUUUGAUUGGGGUGAUUGAAAAAUUUAAUUAACUUUUUUUAAAAUUAAAACAUUGAUUUAUGAACAAUUGAUCCAUUAGUUAUGAUUAUAAGAUUUAAUUACCUUAGGGAUAACAGCGUAAUAUUAUCUAAGAGUUCUUAUCUAAGAUAAAGAUUGCGACCUCGAUGUUGGAUUAAAAUAAUUAUCGGUGUAGAAGUUGAUAGUGUUAGGUCUGUUCGACCUUUAAAAUUUUACAUGAUCUGA